This 2923-nucleotide ribosomal RNA is filed under the name Staphylococcus aureus. RNAcentral's name for it is "23S ribosomal RNA". It matches the Rfam family "Bacterial large subunit ribosomal RNA". Lineage: Bacteria; Bacillati; Bacillota; Bacilli; Caryophanales; Staphylococcaceae. The record is from RNAcentral.
GAUUAAGUUAUUAAGGGCGCACGGUGGAUGCCUUGGCACUAGAAGCCGAUGAAGGACGUUACUAACGACGAUAUGCUUUGGGGAGCUGUAAGUAAGCUUUGAUCCAGAGAUUUCCGAAUGGGGAAACCCAGCAUGAGUUAUGUCAUGUUAUCGAUAUGUGAAUACAUAGCAUAUCAGAAGGCACACCCGGAGAACUGAAACAUCUUAGUACCCGGAGGAAGAGAAAGAAAAUUCGAUUCCCUUAGUAGCGGCGAGCGAAACGGGAAGAGCCCAAACCAACAAGCUUGCUUGUUGGGGUUGUAGGACACUCUAUACGGAGUUACAAAGGACGACAUUAGACGAAUCAUCUGGAAAGAUGAAUCAAAGAAGGUAACAAUCCUGUAGUCGAAAAUGUUGUCUCUCUUGAGUGGAUCCUGAGUACGACGGAGCACGUGAAAUUCCGUCGGAAUCUGGGAGGACCAUCUCCUAAGGCUAAAUACUCUCUAGUGACCGAUAGUGAACCAGUACCGUGAGGGAAAGGUGAAAAGCACCCCGGAAGGGGAGUGAAAUAGAACCUGAAACCGUGUGCUUACAAGUAGUCAGAGCCCGUUAAUGGGUGAUGGCGUGCCUUUUGUAGAAUGAACCGGCGAGUUACGAUUUGAUGCAAGGUUAAGCAGUAAAUGUGGAGCCGUAGCGAAAGCGAGUCUGAAUAGGGCGUUUAGUAUUUGGUCGUAGACCCGAAACCAGGUGAUCUACCCUUGGUCAGGUUGAAGUUCAGGUAACACUGAAUGGAGGACCGAACCGACUUACGUUGAAAAGUGAGCGGAUGAACUGAGGGUAGCGGAGAAAUUCCAAUCGAACCUGGAGAUAGCUGGUUCUCUCCGAAAUAGCUUUAGGGCUAGCCUCAAGUGAUGAUUAUUGGAGGUAGAGCACUGUUUGGACGAGGGGCCCCUCUCGGGUUACCGAAUUCAGACAAACUCCGAAUGCCAAUUAAUUUAACUUGGGAGUCAGAACAUGGGUGAUAAGGUCCGUGUUCGAAAGGGAAACAGCCCAGACCACCAGCUAAGGUCCCAAAAUAUAUGUUAAGUGGAAAAGGAUGUGGCGUUGCCCAGACAACUAGGAUGUUGGCUUAGAAGCAGCCAUCAUUUAAAGAGUGCGUAAUAGCUCACUAGUCGAGUGACACUGCGCCGAAAAUGUACCGGGGCUAAACAUAUUACCGAAGCUGUGGAUUGUCCUUUGGACAAUGGUAGGAGAGCGUUCUAAGGGCGUUGAAGCAUGAUCGUAAGGACAUGUGGAGCGCUUAGAAGUGAGAAUGCCGGUGUGAGUAGCGAAAGACGGGUGAGAAUCCCGUCCACCGAUUGACUAAGGUUUCCAGAGGAAGGCUCGUCCGCUCUGGGUUAGUCGGGUCCUAAGCUGAGGCCGACAGGCGUAGGCGAUGGAUAACAGGUUGAUAUUCCUGUACCACCUAUAAUCGUUUUAAUCGAUGGGGGGACGCAGUAGGAUAGGCGAAGCGUGCGAUUGGAUUGCACGUCUAAGCAGUAAGGCUGAGUAUUAGGCAAAUCCGGUACUCGUUAAGGCUGAGCUGUGAUGGGGAGAAGACAUUGAGUCUUCGAGUCGUUGAUUUCACACUGCCGAGAAAAGCCUCUAGAUAGAAAAUAGGUGCCCGUACCGCAAACCGACACAGGUAGUCAAGAUGAGAAUUCUAAGGUGAGCGAGCGAACUCUCGUUAAGGAACUCGGCAAAAUGACCCCGUAACUUCGGGAGAAGGGGUGCUCUUUAGGGUUAACGCCCAGAAGAGCCGCAGUGAAUAGGCCCAAGCGACUGUUUAUCAAAAACACAGGUCUCUGCUAAACCGUAAGGUGAUGUAUAGGGGCUGACGCCUGCCCGGUGCUGGAAGGUUAAGAGGAGUGGUUAGCUUCUGCGAAGCUACGAAUCGAAGCCCCAGUAAACGGCGGCCGUAACUAUAACGGUCCUAAGGUAGCGAAAUUCCUUGUCGGGUAAGUUCCGACCCGCACGAAAGGCGUAACGAUUUGGGCACUGUCUCAACGAGAGACUCGGUGAAAUCAUAGUACCUGUGAAGAUGCAGGUUACCCGCGACAGGACGGAAAGACCCCGUGGAGCUUUACUGUAGCCUGAUAUUGAAAUUCGGCACAGCUUGUACAGGAUAGGUAGGAGCCUUUGAAACGUGAGCGCUAGCUUACGUGGAGGCGCUGGUGGGAUACUACCCUAGCUGUGUUGGCUUUCUAACCCGCACCACUUAUCGUGGUGGGAGACAGUGUCAGGCGGGCAGUUUGACUGGGGCGGUCGCCUCCUAAAAGGUAACGGAGGCGCUCAAAGGUUCCCUCAGAAUGGUUGGAAAUCAUUCAUAGAGUGUAAAGGCAUAAGGGAGCUUGACUGCGAGACCUACAAGUCGAGCAGGGUCGAAAGACGGACUUAGUGAUCCGGUGGUUCCGCAUGGAAGGGCCAUCGCUCAACGGAUAAAAGCUACCCCGGGGAUAACAGGCUUAUCUCCCCCAAGAGUUCACAUCGACGGGGAGGUUUGGCACCUCGAUGUCGGCUCAUCGCAUCCUGGGGCUGUAGUCGGUCCCAAGGGUUGGGCUGUUCGCCCAUUAAAGCGGUACGCGAGCUGGGUUCAGAACGUCGUGAGACAGUUCGGUCCCUAUCCGUCGUGGGCGUAGGAAAUUUGAGAGGAGCUGUCCUUAGUACGAGAGGACCGGGAUGGACAUACCUCUGGUGUACCAGUUGUCGUGCCAACGGCAUAGCUGGGUAGCUAUGUGUGGACGGGAUAAGUGCUGAAAGCAUCUAAGCAUGAAGCCCCCCUCAAGAUGAGAUUUCCCAACUUCGGUUAUAAGAUCCCUCAAAGAUGAUGAGGUUAAUAGGUUCGAGGUGGAAGCAUGGUGACAUGUGGAGCUGACGAAUACUAAUCGAUCGAAGACUUAAUCAA